AGAUUGAACGCUAGCGGGAUGCUUUACACAUGCAAGUCGAACGGCAGCGCGGACUUCGGUCUGGCGGCGAGUGGCGAACGGGUGAGUAAUAUAUCGGAACGUGCCCAGUAGCGGGGGAUAACUACGCGAAAGCGUGGCUAAUACCGCAUACGCCCUACGGGGGAAAGGGGGGGAUCGCAAGACCUCUCACUAUUGGAGCGGCCGAUAUCAGAUUAGCUAGUUGGUGAGGUAAAGGCUCACCAAGGCGACGAUCUGUAGCUGGUUUGAGAGGACGACCAGCCACACUGGGACUGAGACACGGCCCAGACUCCUACGGGAGGCAGCAGGUGGGGUAAUUUUGGACAAGUGGGGGAAACCUGAUCCAGCCAUCCCGCGUGUGCGAUGAAGGCCUUCGGGUUGUAAGCUACUUUGGCGAGGAACGGAACGGACGUCGACCUAACGUACGGACGUACACGU
Molecule: ribosomal RNA, 456 nt
Filed under: uncultured soil bacterium
Lineage: Bacteria
Description: bacterial SSU rRNA
Rfam family: Bacterial small subunit ribosomal RNA
Source: RNAcentral